GGCAGUGUGGUUUAGUGAUAGAGUGUCUGCCUAGCAAGCACAAGGUCCUGAGUUCAAAUCUCAGUAAUACCG
This 72-nucleotide transfer RNA is filed under the name Dipodomys ordii (Ord's kangaroo rat). It matches the Rfam family "tRNA". Rfam says of the family: Transfer RNA (tRNA) molecules are approximately 80 nucleotides in length. Lineage: Eukaryota; Metazoa; Chordata; Mammalia; Rodentia; Heteromyidae. The record is from Rfam by way of RNAcentral.